Molecule: ribosomal RNA, 374 nt
Filed under: uncultured organism
Description: partial 16S ribosomal RNA
Rfam family: Bacterial small subunit ribosomal RNA
Source: RNAcentral
GUAGGUGGCAAGCGUUGUCCGGAAUUAUUGGGCGUAAAGCGCGCGCAGGGCGGUCCUUUAAGUCUGAUGUGAAAGCCCACGGCUCAACCGUGGAGGGUCAUUGGAAACUGGGGGACUUGAGUACAGAAGAGGAAAGCGGAAUUCCAAGUGUAGCGGUGAAAUGCGUAGAGAUUUGGAGGAACACCAGUGGCGAAGGCGGCUUUCUGGUCUGUAACUGACGCUGAGGCGCGAAAGCGUGGGGAGCAAACAGGAUUAGAUACCCUGGUAGUCCACGCCGUAAACGAUGAGUGCUAAGUGUUAGGGGGGUUUCCGCCCCUUAGUGCUGCAGCUAACGCAUUAAGCACUCCGCCUGGGGAGUACGGCCGCAAAGGCUG